Molecule: non-coding RNA, 1915 nt
Organism: Callithrix jacchus (white-tufted-ear marmoset)
Lineage: Eukaryota; Metazoa; Chordata; Mammalia; Primates; Cebidae
Source: RefSeq, a predicted model, not a curated record
GGGAAACUGCCAGUUACACUUACCAGCCAUUCCUCAGGUCGGGGAGAAGCAUGGCGGCGGCGUUUCCCUCCUGCUUUACAUGUGGGUGCCGAGUGACUGUGCUGGGGAUUCUUGUGCUCAUACCCAAAUUCUCCCUCUUUCUGUCAGUCUCUGGAAGGACUCGAUGCUGAACCAGUGGCAAAGGGAAGAAAAUCAACGCGAUCCUUGACGCCUCCGUGGGCUGUUGAACUUCCUUGAGCCUUAGAAAAUGGUCAGGAACGAAAGUACGGUAUUUUCUUGAUCUUUCUUUGCUGUUGUCGUUUUUUGUUUGUUUUUGAGACGGAGUGGAGUGCAAUGGCACAAUCUCGGCUCACUGCAACUCUGACUCCCUGGUUCAAGUGAUUCUCCUGCCUCGGCCUCCCAAGAAGCUGGGAUUACAGACAUGCGCCACCACGCCCAGCUAAUUUUUGUGUUUUUAGUAGCGACAGGGUUUCACCACGUUGGCCAGGAGGUCUCGAUCUCCUGACUUUGUGAUUCACCUGCCUCAGUCUCCCGAAGUGCUGUGAUUACAGGUGUGAGCCACCACGCCUGGCCUGGUAUUUUCUUCUUUAUGCAUUUUUAAACUCCAGGUCUCCCAACGCCCGGCUCAAAUCCUGCCUCUGCUAUAAAGACAGUCCUAAUGACCCCAGCUGAGAAUGGUUUUCCUUCCUCUCAACUCCAACUGCAGCUUCCUGGUCUUACCUUCCUGAUCUUCCUCUUCACUGCCUCAUCAUGUCGGUUAACUUCCCAAGUGGGCUGCAGCAGCUACUGAUUUUAAAGUUAAGUAUGCCUUGAGAGAGAGAAGCUCCUGUUUUCUCCUGGGUCGGGAGCUAGAAGGAAAUCGUGAGCCUGGAACUUCUCAAAGUCAUCUUCCCUGGACCCCUGAAGGCAGCCAGCCUUGGGAGAUGGAGAAUCCUAAUGACUACUUGGAAUCCCCUAGAUCCAGGGUUCCACGUUGGGGCUGACUGGGGGAGAAAUAUGCAUGAGACAUGGAAGGCGGAAGUGAAGCAGCAGCCCUCACACUCUGCAGGUUGGUGUGGGAUCCUGUGUGUUGCCACUGACCUGCUGAUUCACCUGGUGGCUUGAGGCAGCCAGGCCUGCAGUUCCUCAGCAGCUGCCCCAUCUCCCUCUUCAGCAUCUUCAAAUCGGCCCAGGUACAACUGCUGCUCAAUGACAAGGGAUGCCAUCUCCUGCUUUGGGUUAUCCCAUCACUGAGGGAGGCUGCAAGAGGCAGACAUGGCUGGCCACCCUGAAUCUGGGGAAGUCACUCAGAACCCUUGCUAUAGUCAAUGGCAGCAGAGCAAAAGUGAGCGAAGACCCUUGGAGAGCUGGCAAUGAGCUUACCAGCUGGGUCAAUAGGAACGAUUGUAUCGGGAAUUCAAGGGAAAAGAUGAGUGUGAAAUAAAACUCCCUUUUAAAGACACAUCAAAGAAAACAAGUAUGUCUCAAAAUGAAAUGGCAGACAUGUGUUUUCGAUGUAUUUCUCAUUAGAUUCUUAAUAAUAGGAUGUAAAUCAUCAAGUGGAGUCAGACGGACCAAUCCCGGGGCCCUGGUUCCCAGCAAUGAUGGCUGUUUCUGAUUAGCUUGGAGCCUACUCGCUCAGGAACAAUGAAUGCUUCUUGGGGUCUGUGAGGGACAGGAAAUUAAGCCAUCAGGCUUCUUGCCUAUUAUUUCCACACUCUCUUCAAGUUGGAGAUCCAUCAACUUUGAAAGAAAGACGUAUAAACUGGGCGAAGUGGGAGGAAGUUGGGUAUGCAGUUUUAUUCCACACCCCCUUCAGGAGUGUGUCCGCAGCACUGGUUAUUCACUCCAGAAUUAGAACAUCUGUCUUACACCAGAUGUUUUAUAGAUGGGUACCAAAGUGGGUGUUAGAAAGUUUGUAUCAAGACACCAAAGU